AGGGGCAGUGAAUCAUUUAACCUCCGAGAGUAUCAUGGGGGCCGGAAACAGCUGAGUCCUAUUUGCACAGAUACUUAAGCAUAUGCUGCGGAUGCGCAGCACAAAGCCCCCUGGACGGAAGCCGUCUAAACCUUAACCCAGUUAUGUAAACUGCUUGCCCUUAGAGUGUAUUCAUGAAAACUGACGUACUUUUAAUCAAAUAAACUAAGAAGAAAGAAGGCAAUUGAAUAUUAGAAACUCAAAUCUUUAUGUCAGUUUUCCUGUGUAUAUGUUUUUAUAUGAAAAGCGUUGCUAACUGUAGUCAUUAUGUCUUGGUCUGUAUGUUUGUGUGUCUAAGUGUGUAAAUUAAAAAAUGUUUUCCACCUCUGGAGGGUAUUAAUAAAAGUGAUUUAAAGACAAGUGCUUGUGAAAAUUGGGCAUUCUAAAAUUUCCAGAAAAUCUAAUAAAAAAUAUUAAGCAUUUAUGCUAAUUUAAGCUUAACUGAAAUGGACAUGUCCUUAUAGUUAUCAGCUGCCAGAGUUUACUUUAAGUCAUUUAAGUUGAUGUUACCUGUUAAAUAUUUCAAGAAGAUGCUUGAAGAAAAGCUUGACUUUGAUGUGUAGUGAAAGUUUUGUAAGUGACCUAGCAUGGUUGCUAAAAAUAAGUAAACAAGUGCAGCAAAUAAACUUUUUAAUCAUAAUACUGUAUUAAUGUAUAACAGUGUAUAUAUCUGCAAACAGCCUGAGAAUUUUUGUGGUAACCAAAAUUCUUAAAGUUUGCUAAGUUAUAUAGACAUAUUUUGUGCUUAAUGAGAAAUUGUGCUGUAAGACAGUUGCCAAAAAUGAUAAAAUAUGUUCAUAAAUGUAUCAAUCUGAAGAAUGCUGGUGUAACAGUUUACAGUGGCCUAUUUUUCAGUGUUCACUGAAGGUUAAAGUAUCAAAUGGUUUUAAGUUCUAAUGAAAACUACUUAAUAUAAUAAGGAAAAUAUUUUGGUAUGUUAAAGAUGUGUGUUUUAAUAAGAGAAAGUAUAAAGAAUGGAAAUUUGUUUUGUUGAGGGUAAAAGAAGGUAAUUGUUCUAAAGUACAGCUAUUUAUUUAAAGGGGGAGAACACUGAAUGUAAGAGGAAGGUUGUGGAAAGCUUGUGGAGUUGAUAUGGUCAUGCUAUGUGAAGUUAAAGCAAGUGAGUCUUGAUGUUAAGUACACAGCAAAAUUGGAGUUUUGUUUUCAGUUGGAAAGACAAAGUUUUCUUUAACCAUUAGUCUGCUCUUAAUAUUGAAAGAUUGCAAAGGGUUCUCUAAUUGUUUUAUCAAAACAGUUUCUUAUGCUUAAAGUCUCAAUGAAUUGUCUGAGUAUUUAAGAAAAUGAGAUCUUAAUAUUAAAAAGACAGUAAACUAAGUGUUGUUAACUAUGUAACCUGCCUUUGCUUUUAUCAUUCUGGUUAAAUAAUAAGUGUUAUUUAAUAACUAUAAUUCUAUUUAGGCAAGUGCCUUAAAAACUUUUGACAACUUCCCAAGACCAAAUUUUAAAAAGUAUUUUUACUUCUAAUUAACUCUGAUAUUUUCCAGAGGGCCCCUGGAACAUGUCAGAGGAAUUUCUUCUCCUCAUCAAGGAAAAUAUUUGACUAAUUUGGCUUAUUUACCUGAUAUAUACUUACCUAAAAAGUGCUGUCAAAAGGAAUAAUGCUAAAUUUUAUUACUGAAUGUUUUAUGUUACAGAAAUAUCACUCUUCCCCCUAAGACGCUUACUCCUGAUGCCUAAUUAAAUUUACCUGUUAGUACUACUAUAAUCACUGACUGUGUAUAUAUUGAUUGUACUCAUGUAGCCUCUUACUGUAAUUCUACAAAUCAAUUGAAAAUGGUCUUCUGGAUAUAGACCUCCAAAUGGUUGGGUAUUUUUGUGUAAUAACAAAACAUAUCAAGCCCUUUCUUCACACUAUCGAGGUGUUUGUGGUGUGGGAAGCAUUCUUCCUGCUCUACAUCCUGAAUAUAAGCACAAGAGACUUCUCCGAGCUCUGCCAUCUGAUUGUGAUGAAAACUUGAAACUCUGAGAUCCUGCCGCUGUUGCAGUUGCAGCUGCGUUCCUCCUGCCGGUCCCUAGACUUGUCAUUGGAAUGCAGAAAGAGAUAUCUAAGCUGGCCUGUGCAUAUAGCAAAACAACAAAUUUGACUGCUUCUGUAUUAUCUGAACUCAACCAAGAACUGGGAGAAGUGCGAGCUGCGGUGCUUCAGAAUCGCUCUGCUAUAGACUGUCUGCUGUUAAAAGAACAUGUAGGAUGUGAACAAUUUCCAAGAAUGUGCUGUUUCAAUUUGUCUGAUUUUUCUCGAACUACCCAAAAUCAAUUAGAUGAUAUCCAUCAUAUUGUCAAUAAGUUUUUACAAAUGCCUAAGCUAUCUAACUAGUUUUCUUAAUUUCAUUAGAUAUAACUAGUAAUUGUAAGUCUGCCUUUGUUAUGUAUCUGUAUUCCUAUUCUGUUAAUGUGUGUACGCAAUUUAACUAGUAGUUUGUUAAAACCUAUAUAUAUAUUCAAGUUAUGUCUGUCUUUCGACAUGUUC
Long non-coding RNA from Manis pentadactyla (Chinese pangolin), 2530 nucleotides. RefSeq lists it as uncharacterized. The transcript has 2 exons. The record is from RefSeq and is a predicted model, not a curated record. Lineage: Eukaryota; Metazoa; Chordata; Mammalia; Pholidota; Manidae.